Molecule: ribosomal RNA, 394 nt
Filed under: Escherichia coli
Lineage: Bacteria; Pseudomonadati; Pseudomonadota; Gammaproteobacteria; Enterobacterales; Enterobacteriaceae
Description: partial 23S ribosomal RNA
Rfam family: Bacterial large subunit ribosomal RNA
Source: RNAcentral
GAAUGCUGACAUAAGUAACGAUAAAGCGGGUGAAAAGCCCGCUCGCCGGAAGACCAAGGGUUCCUGUCCAACGUUAAUCGGGGCAGGGUGAGUCGACCCCUAAGGCGAGGCCGAAAGGCGUAGUCGAUGGGAAACAGGUUAAUAUUCCUGUACUUGGUGUUACUGCGAAGGGGGGACGGAGAAGGCUAUGUUGGCCGGGCGACGGUUGUCCCGGUUUAAGCGUGUAGGCUGGUUUUCCAGGCAAAUCCGGAAAAUCAAGGCUGAGGCGUGAUGACGAGGCACUACGGUGCUGAAGCAACAAAUGCCCUGCUUCCAGGAAAAGCCUCUAAGCAUCAGGUAACAUCAAAUCGUACCCCAAACCGACACAGGUGGUCAGGUAGAGAAUACCAAGGCG